Molecule: ribosomal RNA, 494 nt
Filed under: uncultured bacterium
Lineage: Bacteria
Description: partial 16S ribosomal RNA
Rfam family: Bacterial small subunit ribosomal RNA
Source: RNAcentral
GACGAACGCUGGCGGCGUGCUUAACACAUGCAAGUCGAACGGAAAGGCCUGCUUUCCCUUGUGGAUUGCGGGUACUCGAGUGGCGAACGGGUGAGUAACACGUGAGUGAUCUGCCCCCAACUUGGGUAUAAGCCUGGGAAACUGGGUCUAAUUCCCGAUAGGACUGCAGGGUGGUGCCUGUGGUGGAAAACGAUUUUCUAGUGGUUGGGGAUGAGCUCGCGGCCUAUCAGCUUGUUGGUGGGGUAAUGGCCUACCAAGGCGGCGACGGGUAGCCGGCCUGGGAGGGUGGACGGCCACAUUGGGACUGAGAUACGGCCCAGACGCCAACGGGAGGCAGCAGUGGGGAAUAUUGCACAAUGGGCGGAAGCCUGAUGCAGCGACGCAGCGUGGGGGAUGACGGCCUUCGGGUUGUAAACUCCUUUCGACCGCGAGGAAGCCACCUGGUUGGAAGGGUGGUGACGGUAGUGGUAGAAGAAGCACCGGCUAACUACGUG